RNAcentral lists this ribosomal RNA (253 nucleotides) under uncultured bacterium. Its description in RNAcentral is "partial 16S ribosomal RNA". It matches the Rfam family "Archaeal small subunit ribosomal RNA", at positions 474 to 727 of the family's 1478-position model. The record is from RNAcentral.
UACCCGCGGCCCGAGUGGUGCUCAUUAUUAUUGAGCCUAAAGCGUCCGUAGCUGGCCGGGCAAAUCUCCGGGUAAAUCGGGCGGCUCAACCGUCCGAAUUCCGGAGACACUGCUCGGCUUGAGAUCGGGAGAGGGAGAAGGUACUCCCUGGGUAGGGGUAAAAUCCUGUAAUCCGGGGGGGACCACCAGUGGCGAAGGCGUUCUCCUAGAACGAAUCUGACAGUGAGGGACGAAGCCCUAGGGCGCAAACGGG